This is a non-coding RNA of Mastomys coucha (southern multimammate mouse), 72 nucleotides long. NCBI's taxonomy places the organism in Eukaryota, Metazoa, Chordata, Mammalia, Rodentia, Muridae. The record is from the annotation of a RefSeq genome assembly.
GGAGGUGUAGCUCAGUGGUAGAGUGCUUGCCUAGUAUGCACGAGGCCCUGGAUUCAAUCCCCAGCACUGCCA